UACGUAGGGUGCAAGCGUUGUCCGGAAUUAUUGGGCGUAAAGAGCUCGUAGGCGGUCUGUCGCGUCGGCUGUGAAAUCCCGAGGCUCAACCUCGGGUCUGCAGUCGAUACGGGCAAACUGGAGUGUUGCAGGGGAGACUGGAAUUCCUGGUGUAGCGGUGAAAUGCGCAGAUAUCAGGAGGAACACCGGUGGCGAAGGCGGCAUCCUGGACCGACAUUGACGCUGAACGGCGAAAGCUAGGGGAGCAAACGGG
Molecule: ribosomal RNA, 253 nt
Filed under: uncultured bacterium
Lineage: Bacteria
Description: partial 16S ribosomal RNA
Rfam family: Bacterial small subunit ribosomal RNA
Source: RNAcentral